AGCAGCCGCGGUAAUUCCAGCUCCAAUAGCGUAUAUUAAAGUUGUUGCAGUUAAAAAGCUCGUAGUUGAAUUUCGGGAUCAAUAUAUUGGUCGUGCCUUCGGUAUGCACUGGUAUUAUUGAUUUCUACCUUCUGACGAACUAUGAUGUCAUUAAUUUGGUGUCAUGGGGAAUCAGGACUGUUACUUUGAAAAAUUGAGUGUUUAAAGCAGGCACACGCUUGAAUACAUUAGCAUGGAAUAAUGAAAUAGGACGUUUGACCCUAUUUUGUUGGUUUCUAGGAUCGACGUAAUGAUUAAUAGGGAUAGUUGGGGGCAUUAGUAUUCAAUUGUCAGAGGUGAAAUUCUUGGAUUUAUUGAAGACUAACUACUGCGAAAGCAUUUGCCAAGGAUGUUUUCAUUAAUCAAGAACGAAAGUUAGGGGAUCGAAGACGAUCAGAUACCGUCGUAGUCUUAACCAUAAACUAUGCCGACUAGGGAUCGGAUGAUGUUAAUUUUAAUGUACUCAUUC
Molecule: ribosomal RNA, 508 nt
Filed under: uncultured Glomeromycotina
Lineage: Eukaryota; Fungi; Glomeromycota
Description: SSU rRNA
Rfam family: Eukaryotic small subunit ribosomal RNA
Source: RNAcentral